GUGAAUCAUCAAAUUUUUGAAUGCAAAUUGCACUCUCUUCGAAGAGUAUGCCUAUUUGAGGGUCAGUAUUAGUAAAAAUCUGCGUGUUUCCCUUGUGUGACGUUCCGGAGUGUGCGUCCUCUUAUAACAACACGCUUUCAGGGUAUUUUUAGGAGUCUUAAUCUUGACGUUUUUUGUGCAUUUUAUCCGUACAUAAUUUUUUU
This 203-nucleotide unclassified non-coding RNA is filed under the name Glomeromycota sp. RNAcentral describes it as "partial contains 5.8S ribosomal RNA and internal transcribed spacer 2". The stretch from base 1 to 65 matches the Rfam family "5.8S ribosomal RNA", at positions 84 to 154 of the family's 154-position model. Lineage: Eukaryota; Fungi; Glomeromycota. The record is from RNAcentral.